CAAUUAUACCGCGAAACUGCGAAUGGCUCAUUAUAUAAGUUAUCGUUUAUUUGAUAGUACCUUACUACUUGGAUAACCGUGGUAAUUCUAGAGCUAAUACAUGCUAAAAAUCCCGACUUCGGAAGGGAUGUAUUUAUUAGAUUAAAAACCAAUGCCCUCCGGGGCUCUCUGGUGAUUCAUGAUAACUUCUCGAAUCGCAUGGCCUUGCGCCGGCGAUGGUUCAUUCAAAUUUCUUCCCUAUCAACUUUCGAUGUUUGGGUAUUGGCCAAACAUGGUUGCAACGGGUAACGGAGGGUUAGGGCUCGACCCCGGAGAAGGAGCCUGAGAAACGGCUACUACAUCCAAGGAAGGCAGCAGGCGCGCAAAUUACCCAAUCCCGACACGGGGAGGUAGUGACAAUAAAUACUGAUACAGGGCUCAUUUGGGUCUUGUAAUUGGAAUGAGUACAAUUUAAAUCCCUUAACGAGGAACAAUUGGAGGGCAAGUCUGGUGCCAGCAGCCGCGGUAAUUCCAGCUCCAAUAGCGUAUAUUAAAGUUGUUGUGGUUAAAAAGCUCGUAGUUGAACCUUGGGCCUGGCUGGCCGGUCCGCCUCACCGCGUGUACUGGUCCGGCCGGGCCUUUCCCUCUGUGGAACCCCAUGCCCUUCACUGGGUGUGGCGGGGAAACAGGACUUUUACUUUGAAAAAAUUAGAGUGCUCCAGGCAGGCCUAUGCUCGAAUACAUUAGCAUGGAAUAAUAAAAUAGGACGUGUGGUUCUAUUUUGUUGGUUUCUAGGACCGCCGUAAUGAUUAAUAGGGACAGUCGGGGGCAUCAGUAUUCAAUUGUCAGAGGUGAAAUUCUUGGAUUUAUUGAAGACUAACUACUGCGAAAGCAUUUGCCAAGGAUGUUUUCAUUAAUCAGGAACGAAAGUUAGGGGAUCGAAGACGAUCAGAUACCGUCGUAGUCUUAACCAUAAACUAUGCCGACUAGGGAUCGGACGAUGUUAUAAUUUGACUCGUUCGGCACCUUACGAGAAAUCAAAGUGCUUGG
Molecule: ribosomal RNA, 1029 nt
Filed under: Paracremonium variiforme
Lineage: Eukaryota; Fungi; Ascomycota; Sordariomycetes; Hypocreales; Nectriaceae
Description: SSU rRNA
Rfam family: Eukaryotic small subunit ribosomal RNA
Source: RNAcentral